CGUUGUAUGACUAUUUGUGGAGUACUUACUACCAAUCCACUAAUAUUUUUAUUUUUUACGAAGAUUGUCUUUUUAAGUUUAUUUAUAUCAACAGCGAUAAAUUGAAAAUAGGAGACUGGGCAAAGAGAUAGUGAGCUAGCUAGAGAGUGAUAUUUUUUGUAGAAUAUAACAAACAUAUGAUAUUCAAUCAACUAUAGUACAAUAUAGUGUGAGUUUGAUUUUCAGUUACGUCUGAACGUGAAUCCAACCUUUCCCUUCCUUCUCCGUCUGUGUCUUGGAAAGUGGGGAAACAACGUUCAAAGUGGUUCAAACAGGAAAACAAACACACCAUAAAAAGCUUUAUGACAAACUUUAUUAAUGGAAUAUGCAUGCAUGCAUAAUAAUACAUAACCUAAAACAUAGAGAUUAUAUAGAUAGCUGGUUAGAGCAAAAAGAAAACCUUGCUAAUUGCAAAAUAACAUAGCCUAGAAUGGAAUACACAUGCACACACAAUAUAACUAAUACGAGUACAUGAUAUUUUUAUUUUUAUUUUUGGAUGAUGCAUAUUAUUAACUGUUUGCAUGUUAAUGGCCAACUCCAGGACUGUGGCCAGGAGUUGUAGGCCUAAAAGCUUCAACAUCUCCCGCUAGGCUUCUAAUGCUACGGUAGGUUGGGAUGACAUUAGCACUUUUUGUUGCAAUGCUCAUUGCUUUGGUAGCAUCUGGUGAUUGAAUGGUAUGUCUCAAAUUCCUUCCCUCACUACCGAGUAGUUCAUGGGACAAAAACAAGAGUGCAAAGAGAAACCAAAUGUGGGUGAGACGGCCCAUUUGUGAAAAUGAGAAAGAAAAGAACUCAGCUAAAAGAUACUGAGUUCAAGGGUUAAAGGUGGCACGGGCUGGAAAAGAUGGGUGUUUAGGCAAGGAAUUGAAGGGAGAAUGAUUCUUUAAUGGUCACUACACAAACGGUAUUUAUAGAGCCGAAAAGGAGUAUCAUGUAUGUGCUCCA
RNAcentral lists this long non-coding RNA (984 nucleotides) under Glycine max (soybean). RNAcentral's name for it is "long non-coding RNA (GMAX_LNC001011)". The record is from RNAcentral. Lineage: Eukaryota; Viridiplantae; Streptophyta; Magnoliopsida; Fabales; Fabaceae.